GCAGGUGCAGUGGGCCUGCCUGCAUUCCAGCUACUUGGGAGGCUGAGGCAGGAGGAUCACUUGUUAGCCCCGGGAUUUCGGGACUAACAUGGGCAACAUAGUGAGAACCUGUCUCUU
Molecule: small RNA, 117 nt
Filed under: Marmota monax (woodchuck)
Lineage: Eukaryota; Metazoa; Chordata; Mammalia; Rodentia; Sciuridae
Source: RNAcentral